Molecule: ribosomal RNA, 254 nt
Filed under: uncultured bacterium
Lineage: Bacteria
Description: partial 16S ribosomal RNA
Rfam family: Bacterial small subunit ribosomal RNA
Source: RNAcentral
GACGAACCGUGCGAACGUUAUUCGGAAUCAUUGGGCUUAAAGGGCGCGUAGGCGGCGGUGUAAGUUGGAAGUGAAAUCCCAUCGGCUCAACCGUGGAAUCGCUCCCAGUACUGCAUCGCUCGAGGGGGAUAGGGGUCUGCGGAACUACCGGUGGAGCGGUGAAAUGUGUUGAUAUCGGUGGGAACGCCAGUGGCGAAAGCGGCAGACUUGACCCUUCCUGACGCUGAGGCGCGAAAGCUAGGGGAGCAAACAGG